CCUACGGGUGGCAGCAGUGAGGAAUAUUGGUCAAUGGACGAGAGUCUGAACCAGCCAAGUAGCGUGAAGGAUGACUGUCCUAUGGGUUGUAAACUUCUUUUAUAAAGGAAUAAAACGAGGCACGCGUGCCUUUUUGCAUGUACUUUAUGAAUAAGGAUCGGCUAACUCCGUGCCAGCAGCCGCGGUUAUACGGAGGAUCCGAGCGUUAUCCGGAUUUAUUGGGUUUAAAGGGAGCGUAGAUGGGUUGUUAAGUUAGUUGGGAAAGUUUGCGGCUCAAACGUAAAAUUGCAAUUGAUACUGGCAGUCUUGAGUACAGUAGAGGUAGGCGGAAUGCGUGGUGUAGCGGUGAAAUGCAUAGAUAUCACGAAGAACCCCGAUUGCGAAGGCAGCUUACUAAACUGUGACUGACAUUGAUGCACGAAAGUGUGGGUAUCGAACAGGAUUAGAUACCCUUGUAGUC
RNAcentral lists this ribosomal RNA (460 nucleotides) under uncultured bacterium. RNAcentral's name for it is "partial 16S ribosomal RNA". It matches the Rfam family "Bacterial small subunit ribosomal RNA", at positions 338 to 795 of the family's 1533-position model. The record is from RNAcentral.